CAUGCAGGCGGAUAAGCAAGUAAGGUGUGAAAUACCCGGGCUCAACCUGGGAACUGCACUUUAAACUACAUAUCUAGAGUAUUGCAGGGGAGAUGGAAUUCCAGGUGUAGCGGUUGGAAUGCGUAGAUAUCUGGGAAGAACACCGGAGGCGAAGGCGAUCUCCUGGGCAAAUACUGACGCUCAUAUGCGAAAAGCGUGGGAAAGCAAAACCA
RNAcentral lists this ribosomal RNA (212 nucleotides) under uncultured Succinivibrionaceae bacterium. RNAcentral describes it as "partial 16S ribosomal RNA". It matches the Rfam family "Bacterial small subunit ribosomal RNA", at positions 568 to 777 of the family's 1533-position model. Lineage: Bacteria; Pseudomonadati; Pseudomonadota; Gammaproteobacteria; Aeromonadales; Succinivibrionaceae. The record is from RNAcentral.